GCUUCCCCAUCUUAGCAUAAUUGAACUUGCCUCUUCUUCUCUUUGGGGCUGCCUUGCUGUCAAACACCAAGACCAAGUUUGAAGAAAAGUUCAAUUGCAACUUGCAACCUCAUCUCAGUUUGCUGCCUUGUUGUCGUGGUUCCCAAUCCCAUCUCAUCUUGCUAUCUUGUCCAAGAUCAAGCUUCAAACUUGAAGAUCAAAAGAAGACCCCUCUUCAUCAUGGCUCAACUUCCAAUAUGGCCGAGGCACUCAUCAACCUGCUUCUGGAACAAUUGGCUGCAGUUGCUUUUGACCACACAAAGGGAGCUGCGACACUGGUUUUGAAAGCUGAGAGAGGUAAAAAAGUUCAGCAGCAAUCUCAAAGCAAUUCAAGCGGUGCUCGAUUGAGGAUGCUGAGAAGGAGCAAGUGGAGAAGGCUAGCGUGAGGAACUGGUUGGAUCGACUGAAAGAUGUCUCUUAUGAGAUGGUUGACGUGCUAGAUGAGUGGAACACUGCAAUUCUGAAACAAACAAACAAAAAGGGCAAAAGGAGUCAUUUUUGGGAAUAAUGAACACUCAAACAUCAUCAUCCUCUGAUUUAUUCCCAAAAUUGAAACAACUAUGCCAUGCAUGCCUUGUUUCCUUCACAAUUCAGUACUGCCCUAAGCUGAUGAACCUGCCAUUCUUCCUGAAAAACACACCGGUCAGUAGAAUUUACAUCACCAAAUGUCGGCGGAGUAUUAUAAUACCUGAUCCGGUAAUACCAAAUGUUUUUGAGAGUAGGGUUGAAACAGAGAUACAAAUAAACUCACAGAGUGAUGAGGAGAUAACCAUGAUCACCUGAAACUGUAAAGCUUAAAGGCUACUACUGUAAAUAUUUGAUUGAGAGGGAAUUGAGUUCCUCUUCCACUGAAAGCAGCUGCAGGUCUUAGGAGACAUGGCAAGAGUUACAGAUUAAGAUGAUGCCCAAAACCAUCUCAAGUCUAACAUGAAACAUGGAAAGUUUUCUUAGUUGGAGAUGUGGCAAGAGUUACAAAUUCAGAUGUAACCUCUUUGCUAGCAUUAGAAUUUGGAAGCAGGUACCCUGAAAUUUUCUUCCACAUUUUCUUUCUACUAUAAAAACUAGUAAAAUUCAUUAAAGAACAUAAAACCCCAAAAGAAUCAUCAUUUUUUCUCUUUCUGGCAAAAUAGUGUGAUUAGACAAAAAAAUUACAUGUACAAGAUGUAUUAGCCUAGGAAGACAUACUCGAUAUGUUAGGUUCAUUGCAUUCAUGCCGGGUUUAUAUUUUUUGAGCUUCUUGCAUCAGUCAUACUUCUUCUUACGGAUCUUGUGAUGACAUAAACCAGAGUGCAAACAGUCAAUUACAGAUCCUCAAUUCCUUGGAAGGACUGAUAAUGAUGUCAUAACAAUAGAACACUAAGCUGAAGAAGAAGCACAGUAUGAGCAGAGUUUCUGAUGCGGGAAGCGUGAACACGAUAGUAAGAGACUCCGUCAAGCGUCGAAAGUCAUAUGAGAUGAGCUAGAAUCCACUAGCAAUUACGGGCACAGC
Molecule: long non-coding RNA, 1528 nt
Organism: Rosa rugosa (rugosa rose)
Lineage: Eukaryota; Viridiplantae; Streptophyta; Magnoliopsida; Rosales; Rosaceae
Exons: 4
Source: RefSeq, a predicted model, not a curated record